UAUCUAGCUAGCAUCAAUCAAACCUCAUGUAGAACCACGAACAUGACACACACUUCUUCCAUGCCAUGGCUGGUGGGAUGGACGAUGCUUGCUCCAUGCUUUGACUAGGAGUAGGACACGAUAGGCGGGGAGCGCUCGGCAUCGGGCGGUCAUCCAUGAAGCGGGUGGCGUGGAUGCCAUGCGGCUCGUCGUCGGGCGUAGACGCGGGCACGAUCAUGAAGCGGAUGUCCAGCUCCGGGAUCUCUAUCCAGUGGCACAACUGCUCCAAUCGGUUCUGAAUCCCGGAAGAUAGUGUUAUGGAGUCACAAUUCAUGGCCACGUUGGGAUAUAAUAAGAAAUCUGAGAAGGUUUGCCCGUUGAUGGCAUAGGUUAACAAGAGACUUAUGAGGCUUUAUGAUGUAAUUAGAUAUGAUUGCUAGUUGUAUAUGUUGGUUGUCGUGUGAUGUGAGAUAGUAUGUUUGUACUUUUGUAUGUUGUAUGACGAAGCUUGAAAAUAAAUCAUAUAGUGGAAUUUGAAUGUGCA
This is a long non-coding RNA of Hordeum vulgare subsp. vulgare (domesticated barley), 523 nucleotides long. RefSeq lists it as uncharacterized. The record is from RefSeq and is a predicted model, not a curated record. The transcript has 2 exons. Lineage: Eukaryota; Viridiplantae; Streptophyta; Magnoliopsida; Poales; Poaceae.